Molecule: ribosomal RNA, 344 nt
Filed under: uncultured Bacillota bacterium
Lineage: Bacteria; Bacillati; Bacillota
Description: bacterial SSU rRNA
Rfam family: Bacterial small subunit ribosomal RNA
Source: RNAcentral
AUUACUGGGUGUAAAGGGAGCGCAGGCGGAUUGGCAAGUUGGGAGUGAAAUCUAUGGGCUCAACCCAUAAAUUGCUUUCAAAACUGUCAGUCUUGAGUGGUGUAGAGGUAGGCGGAAUUCCCGGUGUAGCGGUGGAAUGCGUAGAUAUCGGGAGGAACACCAGUGGCGAGGGCGGCCUACUGGGCACUAACUGACGCUGAGGCUCGAAAGCAUGGGUAGCAAACAGGAUUAGAUACCCUGGUAGUCCAUGCCGUAAACGAUGAUUACUAGGUGUGGGAGGAUUGACCCCUUCCGUGCCGCAAUUAACACAAUAAUUAAUCCACCUGGGGAGUACGACCGCAAGG